Molecule: ribosomal RNA, 727 nt
Filed under: uncultured Bacilli bacterium
Lineage: Bacteria; Bacillati; Bacillota; Bacilli
Description: bacterial SSU rRNA
Rfam family: Bacterial small subunit ribosomal RNA
Source: RNAcentral
CCUCCCGAGUGCUUGCACUCAAUUGGAAAGAGGAGUGGCGGACGGGUGAGUAACACGUGGGUAACCUACCCAUCAGAGGGGGAUAACACUUGGAAACAGGUGCUAAUACCGCAUAACAGUUUAUGCCGCAUGGCAUAAGAGUGAAAGGCGCUUUCGGGUGUCGCUGACGGAUGGACCCGCGGUGCAUUAGCUAGUUGGUGAGGUAACGGCUCACCAAGGCCACGAUGCAUAGCCGACCUGAGAGGGUGAUCGGCCACACUGGGACUGAGACACGGCCCAGACUCCUACGGGAGGCAGCAGUAGGGAAUCUUCGGCAAUGGACGAAAGUCUGACCGAGCAACGCCGCGUGAGUGAAGAAGGUUUUCGGAUCGUAAAACUCUGUUGUUAGAGAAGAACAAGGACGUUAGUAACUGAACGUCCCCUGACGGUAUCUAACCAGAAAGCCACGGCUAACUACGUGCCAGCAGCCGCGGUAAUACGUAGGUGGCAAGCGUUGUCCGGAUUUAUUGGGCGUAAAGCGAGCGCAGGCGGUUUCUUAAGUCUGAUGUGAAAGCCCCCGGCUCAACCGGGGAGGGUCAUUGGAAACUGGGAGACUUGAGUGCAGAAGAGGAGAGUGGAAUUCCAUGUGUAGCGGUGAAAUGCGUAGAUAUAUGGAGGAACACCAGUGGCGAAGGCGGCUCUCUGGUCUGUAACUGACGCUGAGGCUCGAAAGCGUGGGGAGCAAACA